UUUCCGUAGGUGAACCUGCGGAAGGAUCAUUAAUGAGUUGUCAUGGGGUUCGAUGCUGGCAGCCAGUUUUUGGAUGCAUGUGCUUGCCCUAACAAUCAUCUUCUUCCAAACACCUGUGCACAUUUUUGAGGGAGUCUUGAGUUGGUUGCCGCUCUUGGGUGAUUUUCUCACUUUCCCUUAAAUCAUUAUACACUAUUAACAAUGUUGAACGUGCUCUGUGCCGCAAGGCCAUUAAUAUAAUACAACUUUUAACAACGGAUCUCUUGGCUCUC
RNAcentral lists this unclassified non-coding RNA (272 nucleotides) under plant metagenome. RNAcentral's name for it is "partial contains small subunit ribosomal RNA, internal transcribed spacer 1, and 5.8S ribosomal RNA". The record is from RNAcentral.